Molecule: ribosomal RNA, 466 nt
Filed under: uncultured bacterium
Lineage: Bacteria
Description: bacterial SSU rRNA
Rfam family: Bacterial small subunit ribosomal RNA
Source: RNAcentral
UUCCAGACUCCUACGGGAGGCAGCAGUGAGGAAUAUUGGUCGAUGGGUUUACGCCUGAACCAGCCAAGUCGCGUGAGGGAAGACUGCCCUAUGGGUUGUAAACCUCUUUUGUCAGGGAGCAAUUGGCGCUACGUGUAGCGUUAUCGAGAGUACCUGAAGAAAAAGCAUCGGCUAACUCCGUGCCAGCAGCCGCGGUAAUACGGAGGAUGCGAGCGUUAUCCGGAUUUAUUGGGUUUAAAGGGUGCGUAGGCGGAAUGCCAAGUCAGCGGUAAAAUUUCGGGGCUCAACCCCGUCGUGCCGUUGAAACUGGCGUUCUUGAGUGAGCGAGAAGUAUGCGGAAUGCGUGGUGUAGCGGUGAAAUGCAUAGAUAUCACGCAGAACUCCGAUUGCGAAGGCAGCAUACCGGCGCGCAACUGACGCUCAUGCACGAAAGCGUGGGUAUCGAACAGGAUUAGAUGCCCGAGUA